UAGCCCUAAACGAUGCGCGUUAGGUGUAUCGGUGACCACGAGUCACCGAGGUGCCGAAGGGAAACCGUGAAACGUGCCGCCUGGGAAGUACGGUCGCAAGGCUGAAACUUAAAGGAAUUGGCGGGGGAGCACCACAACGGGUGGAGCUUGCGGUUUAAUUGGAUUCAACGCCGGAAAUCUUACCGGGACCGACAGCAACAUGAAGGCCAGGCUGAAGACCUUGCCGGAUUAGCUGAGAGGAGGUGCAUGGCGUAGUCGUG
This 260-nucleotide ribosomal RNA is filed under the name uncultured archaeon. RNAcentral describes it as "partial 16S ribosomal RNA". It matches the Rfam family "Archaeal small subunit ribosomal RNA", at positions 748 to 1013 of the family's 1478-position model. The record is from RNAcentral.